Long non-coding RNA from Ailuropoda melanoleuca (giant panda), 1626 nucleotides. The record is from Ensembl. Lineage: Eukaryota; Metazoa; Chordata; Mammalia; Carnivora; Ursidae.
UUAUCCUGAGAGAAACCCUGACCUUGCUGGAGUAGAGAUCAUUGUUAUUAUUUCCCCAUGAUGACAUCACCAGUUUCCCAGAGGUGACCUCUAACAGCCACAUGGCUCGGACUCCAGGUCCAGGAGUUGUACCACAGGAGAAAAACCCUGAGAUUAGGAAUUGGGGUUUUAUGUAGGAACAGGAUACCUACCCCCCCAACCCUCCUGAGAAAAAAGAGAAACCUCUGCCCCGCAGGCUUUCACAGUCCUUUGGAACGUAAAUGACUUCCCUGAAGAAGAGAGGGGGAAUCUGCAGGACAGGACGCGCACAGCAUUUGGCUCUGGAAGAGGUAAGUGUUAUUACCCUUUGAAGGAGAGCAGAUGGUUCAAGGUCUAUCGAAUACCCUUAACUUCCAAGGCUUGUCCUUUAACCCAGGUGCCGGUAAUGUUUCCUCAGAAAGUCCUAACUGUGCAGAACCAUGAAAAUAUCCACUUCUUGAUACACAUCAGUGGUUGCUUGUGGCUGAAUGUUGGAGCGGGAUUGACAGCGACUGGCAGCCAUUCGUAUGAUGCACAUGUUUGCGAUCAAAUCUCCCUCAAGAGCUUCAGAAGUGACGCCUGGAAUCCACAUUCUAAUGUCAAAUUCUAAAAUCAAAAACUACCAGCGGUGGGGCCAACCACUCGGAAGAGAGGAUUUCUGAAAGUCACUAUUCAGCACAGCUAGAACCACCCAUUAGAGCAGCCCUCCACUUCUCCACUUCCCCUGAACGAUAUACAAAGAAGGAAGCUAGAAGUCACCUUUGAAGGGAAUGAGAGUUUGUGGAGCAGCUUCCCAUACUCCUCCCGUAGGUGAGGAGGAACGUUCGAAAUAUUCUUUCUGAUCCGACAUGGGUGAGAAUGUCAGAACUCCUACCUCUUCCACAACGUUGUGACUGCUGAUCAUCCUCACGUAACAUUUUCUAAGCUACAGAAUGAGCAGCACACUUGCUGCCCUAAACUUAAAGCUACUGAUGAGAGAAGAGAGGGGCAAGAGAGAGGAGGAGAGACAACUACAGGGGGGUUAUUGCCUGUAUCCCCACUGUGUGAUGUGGCAAGGAUAUCAGUUUCCCACAAGCACAAUGGGUAUAGGUUAGAAAUUGAGUGAUUUUGCUGGUACUCUCCAAGAGAGCUACCUAAUGGAACAGGCAUCCCCAACCGCAGGAGAUAAUGAAGUGAAAUCCCCAUGGCAGAAAUGGGGACAGUAAGUGGUUAAGCUUCAGCUGACCCUUCCAAGCCAUGGCAGCCAAGGGUAAGAAUUAGGGCUCUUCACAGACCCAGGGAACUUCUGCCCACUAGAAAACACACAUUUGGAUGCCUACCACAGAGCAGUAGCUGGAACUGACAGAAAGGGAAGAACAAAUUGCUACAGUGGAUUUAAGUAAUGGAAGAGCAUUUCAACUAACAAAGGAAACAUCAGCCAAUUAUCCAUAGGCAGUUGCACAUGAAAACGCAGACUCUUCUCCCUCUCUGCCUCCACACCAGAGGACUAAGAGCUUGAAAGAGGGCAAGGUCGUAAGAGAGUUUGCUCCACUUCCCCCGUUAACACAAGUCCCAAACCACCAGGCUGGACUUGGGGGGAAAGGAGAGCUUUAAUUAGUUACAAGAUUU